Molecule: ribosomal RNA, 600 nt
Filed under: uncultured marine bacterium
Lineage: Bacteria
Description: bacterial SSU rRNA
Rfam family: Bacterial small subunit ribosomal RNA
Source: RNAcentral
AGAGUAUGAUCCUGGCUCAGAUUGAACGCUGGCGGCAGGCCUAACACAUGCAAGUCGAGCGGUAGAGAAGGAGCUUGCUUCUUCUUGAGAGCGGCGGACGGGUGAGUAAUGCCUAGGAAUCUGCCUGGUAGUGGGGGACAACGUUUCGAAAGGAACGCUAAUACCGCAUACGUCCUACGGGAGAAAGUGGGGGAUCUUCGGACCUCACGCUAUCAGAUGAGCCUAGGUCGGAUUAGCUUGUAGGUGAGGUAAUGGCUCACCUAGGCAACGAUCCGUAACUGGUCUGAGAGGAUGAUCAGUCACACUGGAACUGAGACACGGUCCAGACUCCUACGGGAGGCAGCAGUGGGGAAUAUUGGACAAUGGGCGAAAGCCUGAUCCAGCCAUGCCGCGUGUGUGAAGAAGGUCUUCGGAUUGUAAAGCACUUUAAGUUGGGAGGAAGGGUUGUAGCUUAAUACGCUGCAACUUUGACGUUACCAACAGAAUAAGCACCGGCUAACUCUGUGCCAGCAGCCGCGGUAAUACAGAGGGUGCAAGCGUUAAUCGGAAUUACUGGGCGUAAAGCGCGCGUAGGCGGCUUGAUAAGAUGGGUGUGAAAUC